CCUACGGGUGGCAGCAGUGAGGAAUAUUGGUCAAUGGGCGCGAGCCUGAACCAGCCAAGUCGCGUGAGGGAAGACGGUCCUAUGGAUUUUAAACCUCUUUUGUCGGGGAGCAAAAGCCGCCACGCGAGGCGUUCCGACAGUACCCGAAGAAAAAGCAUCGGCUAACUCCGUGCCAGAAGCCGCGGUAAUACGGAGGAUGCGAGCGUUAUCCGGAUUUAUGGGGUUUAAAGGGUGCGCAGGGGGAAGAUCAAGUCAGCGGUAAAAUUGAGAGGCUCAACCUCUUCGGGCCGUUGAAACGGGUUGUGUUGAGGGAGUGAGAAGUAUGCGGAAUGCGUGGUGGAGCGGUGAAAUGCAUAGAUAUCGCGCAGAACUCCGAUUGCGAAGGCAGCAUACCGGCGCUCAACUGACGCUCAUGCACGAAAGUGUGGGUAUCGAACAGGAUUAGAUACCCCAGUAGUC
RNAcentral lists this ribosomal RNA (459 nucleotides) under uncultured bacterium. RNAcentral's name for it is "partial 16S ribosomal RNA". It matches the Rfam family "Bacterial small subunit ribosomal RNA", at positions 338 to 795 of the family's 1533-position model. The record is from RNAcentral.